This 3379-nucleotide ribosomal RNA is filed under the name Leuconostoc carnosum. RNAcentral describes it as "bacterial LSU rRNA". The stretch from base 519 to 3379 matches the Rfam family "Bacterial large subunit ribosomal RNA". Lineage: Bacteria; Bacillati; Bacillota; Bacilli; Lactobacillales; Lactobacillaceae. The record is from RNAcentral.
CCCNCCCGCCACAUGGGAGUUUGUAAUGCCCAAAGCCGGUGGCCUAACCUUUUAGGAAGGAGCCGUCUAAGGCAGGACAGAUGACUGGGGUGAAGUCGUAACAAGGUAGCCGUAGGAGAACCUGCGGCUGGAUCACCUCCUUUCUAAGGAUAAUCGGAAAGCGACAGGGACUUAAGUGUCAAUUUGUUUGUUUCAAAGUUUUGUUUAGUUUUGAGUGUGAUACUUUAAUAGGUAUCAUGGUCUCAAAGUGAUCCUAUGGGGAAUUAGCUCAGCUGGGAGAGCACCUGCUUUGCAAGCAGGGGGUCAGCGGUUCGAUCCCGCUAUUCUCCAUAGCUAGUCGAAAGGCUAGCAUGUUGUACAUUGAAAACUGAAUAGUAACAAAUUCUUUUAAAAGCAAUCGUAAGAUUGCACUAAAAUGAACCGAGAAACAACACAAAAAGUUCUUUAAAAAGAACGGUUUAAUCGCAGGUCUGAAAAAUGACCAACUCAUAAACUUAAACCACAACUUCGGUUGUAUAGGUUAAGUUAAUAAGGGCGCGUGGUGAAUGCCUUGGCACUAGGAGCCGAUGAAGGACGUGACUAACUACGAUAAGCUUUGGUGAGCGGUAAGUACGCUAUGACCCAAAGAUUUCCGAAUGGGGAAACCCAACUCGCAAAGAGUUGUCUGUAUCUGAAUAUAUAGGAUAUUUGACGGAAUACGCUGUGAACUGAAACAUCUCAUUAGCAGCAGGAGCAGAAAGAAAAAUCGAUUCCCUAAGUAGCGGCGAGCGAACGGGGAAGAGCCCAAACCAACGUGCUUGCAUGUUGGGGUUGUAGGACUGAUAUAUAAGAGUUACAAAAGUGUUUUAUAGCAGAACAAGUUGGGAAACUUGGCUAUAGAGGGUGAUAGCCCCGGAAGCGAAAUGAAGCACACUCUUUUCAGGAUCCUGAGUACGGCCGGACACGUGAAAUCCGGUCGGAAUCUGCGGGGACCAUCCCGUAAGGCUAAAUACUCCCUAGUGACCGAUAGUGAACCAGUACCGUGAGGGAAAGGUGAAAAGCACCCCGGAAGGGGAGUGAAAUAGUUCCUGAAACCACGACGCCUACAAGAAGUCAGAGUCCGUUAAUGGGUGAUGGCGUGCCUUUUGUAGAAUGAACCGGCGAGUUACGGUAUCGUGCGAGGUUAAGGUGGAAAGACCGGAGCCGCAGCGAAAGCGAGUGUGAAUAGCGCGAAUAGUACGAUGCUGUAGACCCGAAACCAAGUGACCUACCCAUGGUCAGGAUGAAGGUGAGGUAAAACUUACUGGAGGUCCGAACCGGUGCAUGUUAAAAAAUGCUCGGAUGAACUGUGGGUAGCGGUGAAAUUCCAAACGAACUUGGAGAUAGCUGGUUCUCUCCGAAAUAGCUUUAGGGCUAGCCUCAUUAUAAGCAUACUGGAGGUAGAGCACUGUUAAGCCUAGGGGCCCAUCUCGGGUUACCAAAGUUUGAUAAACUCCGAAUGCCAGAUAUGUAUGAAUGGGAGUCAGACGAUGAGUGAUAAGAUCCACCGUCGAAAGGGGAACAGCCCAGAUCGCCAGUUAAGGUCCCUAAAUAUAUGUUAAGUGGAAAACGAUGUGAUAGUGCAUAGACAACUAGGAUGUUGGCUUAGAAGCAGCCACCAUUUAAAGAGUGCGUAAUAGCUCACUAGUCGAGUGCCAUUGCGCGGAAAAUGUACCGGGGCUAAACAUAUUACCGAAACUGCGGGUGUGCGUAAGCACGCGAUAGGAGAGCGUUGUAAGGGCAAUGAAGGUAGAUCGUAAGGACUGCUGGAGCGCUUACAAGUGAGAAUGCCGGUAUGAGUAGCGAAAGACAGGUGAGAAUCCUGUCCACCGAAUGACUAAGGUUUCCUGGGGAAGGCUCGUCCUCCCAGGGUUAGUCGGGACCUAAGGCGAGGCUGAGAAGCGUAGUCGAUGGAUAACAGGUUGAGAUUCCUGUACCAGUUGUAAUGCGUUUGACCGAUGGAGGGACGCAGGAGGCUAUCAGAAGCGCACUGAUGGAUAUGUACGUGCAAGCAGUAAGUUUUGAUAAGAGUGAAAUGCUUUUAUCUACAAGAACAAGCUGUGAUGCGGAUCGAAAUAAAGUAGAGAAGUCUGAGAUGUCACACUGCCGAGAAAAGCUUCUAGGAAGUAUUACACUGCCCGUACCGCAAACCGACACAGGUAGUCGAGUGGAGAACACUAAGGUGAGCGAGAGAACCCUCGUUAAGGAACUCGGCAAAAUGACCCCGUAACUUCGGGAGAAGGGGUGCUCAUGGUAAAACAUGAGCCGCAGUGAAUAGGCCCAGGCGACUGUUUAUCAAAAACACAGGUUUCUGCAAAAUCGUAAGAUGAAGUAUAGGGGCUGACGCCUGCCCGGUGCUGGAAGGUUAAAAGGAGUGUUUAGUUUCGGCGAAGGUACGAAUUGAAGCCCCAGUAAACGGCGGCCGUAACUAUAACGGUCCUAAGGUAGCGAAAUUCCUUGUCGGGUAAGUUCCGACCCGCACGAAAGGCGUAACGAUCUGGGCACUGUCUCAACGAGGGACUCGGUGAAAUUUAAAUACCCGUGAAGAUGCGGGUUACCCGCGACAGGACGGAAAGACCCCAUGGAGCUUUACUGUAGCUUGAUAUUGAAUGUUUGUGCUGCUUGUACAGAAUAGGUAGGAGACGUAGAAGAUUGGACGCUAGUCUAGUCGGAGUCGCACGGUGGGAUACUACCCUCGUUGUAUGAACAUUCUAACACUGGUCACUCAACGUGAUCGUGGACAGUGUCUGGCGGGCAGUUUGACUGGGGCGGUCGCCUCCUAAAAGGUAACGGAGGCGCUCAAAGGUUUGCUCAGAAUGGUUGGAAAUCAUUCGUAGCGUGUAAAGGCAUAAGCAAGCUUGACUGCGAGAGCUACAACUCGAGCAGGUACGAAAGUAGGACUUAGUGAUCCGGUGGUUCCGCAUGGAAGGGCCAUCGCUCAACGGAUAAAAGCUACCCUGGGGAUAACAGGCUCAUCUCCCCCAAGAGUCCACAUCGACGGGGAGGUUUGGCACCUCGAUGUCGGCUCAUCGCAUCCUGGGGCUGUAGUCGGUCCCAAGGGUUGGGCUGUUCGCCCAUUAAAGCGGUACGCGAGCUGGGUUCAGAACGUCGUGAGACAGUUCGGUCCCUAUCCGUCGCGGGCGCAGGAAAUUUGAGAGGAGUUGCCCUUAGUACGAGAGGACCGGGGUGGACAAACCGCUGGUGUACCAGUUGUUCCGCCAGGAGCAUUGCUGGGUAGCUAUGUAUGGAUGAGAUAAACGCUGAAAGCAUCUAAGUGUGAAACUCGCCUCGAGAUGAGAUUUCCCAUCUAUUUAAUAGAGUAAGACCCCUUAGAGAUGAUGAGGUAGAUAGGCUAGAAGUG